GAGGGUAUAUCUCAGUGGUAGAGUGCUUGCCUUCUAUGUGAGAGGCCUUGGGUUUGAUCCCCAGGACCAUAA
Molecule: transfer RNA, 72 nt
Filed under: Ictidomys tridecemlineatus (thirteen-lined ground squirrel)
Lineage: Eukaryota; Metazoa; Chordata; Mammalia; Rodentia; Sciuridae
Description: Spermophilus tridecemlineatus (thirteen-lined ground squirrel) tRNA
Rfam family: tRNA
About the family: Transfer RNA (tRNA) molecules are approximately 80 nucleotides in length. Their secondary structure includes four short double-helical elements and three loops (D, anti-codon, and T loops).
Source: Rfam by way of RNAcentral